ACAAAAGUAUUUCAUUCCUCACUCGUCGGGACAGAGCUGUAUAGGCUACAAUGACCACAUCACUGAAGUCCAGUUCUUGGAGCUCAAACCUUCGUCUAUGGACCUCCUCAUGUCUCAGGCUCUCCAGCUGGACCAGCACAUAUUCAGAAACAGAUCCAUAAAAUUCAGCAAUGGACGGAUUUAACCUUUCAUGAUUAAUCGGGCACCUCUGAGGGCCACUAAUGAAGAAAAGUGAAGACUUCUUAAGUCUGCAGAAGGUUUGAAAUGAUGUAAACUGCAUUCCAAGGAGUGGAAAUUCUGGAUGAUUACUGUUCAUUACAUUUCUGUAUGCAGCAUUUAAAUCAGUCAAGUGGUUGGAAAAUCAAUUCCAGCUGAAAUUAAGAGUUUGCCUGGAUGUAAAUCUGGGGUUUACUAUUAUUUUCUAUGUAUAAGACAACUGCUUGGUGUAAUGCAAAUGUACAAAAUGUGUUAAAGUUCUUAUAGAAGUAGUUGCAUGGUGUAUAUGCCUACUAAUAAAUAAAUAAAUCUAAGAAUAAUUUAUUUUGUGAAGAAGCAAAAAUGGUUGAAUCGGUUGUUCUUUUGUUGUCUAUGGUGGACGUCUGACAAACAUGCUCAAACUUCAGUGUGCAUUGAAAUCUAUUUGCUUUUGUAAUAAAACAAAUUUCAUCAGUGCAAUACAUUUUAAUUUACAAUAAAAUAUCAGUUACUUUUUCGAAUAAGUA
Long non-coding RNA from Carassius gibelio (silver crucian carp), 722 nucleotides. RefSeq lists it as uncharacterized. The transcript is spliced from 3 exons. Lineage: Eukaryota; Metazoa; Chordata; Actinopteri; Cypriniformes; Cyprinidae. The record is from RefSeq and is a predicted model, not a curated record.